GAUUGAACGCUGGCGGCAUGCCUUACACAUGCAAGUCGAACGGCAGCACGGAGCUUGCUCUGGUGGCGAGUGGCGAACGGGCGAGUAAUAUAUCGGAACGUACCCUAGAGUGGGGGAUAACGUAGCGAAAGUUACGCUAAUACCGCAUACGAUCUUAGGAUGAAAGUGGGGGAUCGCAAGACCUCAUGCUCGUGGAGCGGCCGAUAUCUGAUUAGCUAGUUGGUAGGGUAAAAGCCUACCAAGGCAUCGAUCAGUAGCUGGUCUGAGAGGACGACCAGCCACACUGGAACUGAGACACGGUCCAGACUCCUACGGGAGGCAGCAGUGGGGAAUUUUGGACAAUGGGCGAAAGCCUGAUCCAGCAAUGCCGCGUGAGUGAAGAAGGCCUUCGGGUUGUAAAGCUCUUUUGUCAGGGAAGAAACGGUGAGAGCUAAUAUCUUUUGCUAAUGACGGUACCUGAAGAAUAAGCACCGGCUAACUACGUGCCAGCAGCCGCGGUAAUACGUAGGGCGCAAGCGUUAAUCGGAAUUACUGGGCGUAAAGCGUGCGCAGGCGGUUUUGUAAGUCUGAUGUGAAAUCCCCGGGCUCAACCUGGGAAUUGCAUUGGAGACUGCACGGCAAGAAUCUGGCAGAGGGGGGUAGAAUUCCACGUGUAGCAGCGAAAUGCGUAGAUAUGUGGAGGGAACACCGAUGGCGAAGGCAGCCCCCUGGGUCAAGAUUGACGCUCAUGCACGAAAGCGUGGGGAGCAAACAGGAUUAGAUACCCUGGUAGUCCACGCCCUAAACGAUGUCUACUAGUUGUCGGGUCUUAAUUGACUUGGUAACGCAGCUAACGCGUGAAGUAGACCGCCUGGGGAGUACGGUCGCAAGAUUAAAACUCAAAGGAAUUGACGGGGACCCGCACAAGCGGUGGAUGAUGUGGAUUAAUUCGAUGCAACGCGAAAAACCUUACCUACCCGUGACAUGGCUGGAAUCCUCGAGAGAUUGAGGAGUGCUCGAAAGAGAACCAGUACACAGGUGCUGCAUGGCUGUCGUCAGCUCGUGUCGUGAGAUGUUGGGUUAAGUCCCGCAACGAGCGCAACCCUUGUCAUUAGUUGCUACGAAAGGGCACUCUAAUGAGACUGCCGGUGACAAACCGGAGGAAGGUGGGGAUGACGUCAAGUCCUCAUGGCCCUUAUGGGUAGGGCUUCACACGUCAUACAAUGGUACAUACAGAGCGCCGCCAACCCGCGAGGGGGAGCUAAUCGCAGAAAGUGUAUCGUAGUCCGGAUUGUAGUCUGCAACUCGACUGCAUGAAGUUGGAAUCGCUAGUAAUCGCGGAUCAGCAUGUCGCGGUGAAUACGUUCCCGGGUCUUG
Molecule: ribosomal RNA, 1356 nt
Filed under: uncultured Janthinobacterium sp.
Lineage: Bacteria; Pseudomonadati; Pseudomonadota; Betaproteobacteria; Burkholderiales; Oxalobacteraceae
Description: bacterial SSU rRNA
Rfam family: Bacterial small subunit ribosomal RNA
Source: RNAcentral